Molecule: long non-coding RNA, 474 nt
Organism: Bombyx mori (domestic silkworm)
Lineage: Eukaryota; Metazoa; Arthropoda; Insecta; Lepidoptera; Bombycidae
Exons: 2
Source: RefSeq, a predicted model, not a curated record
CAAAAUCAAUGAAAUUAUAAUGUAUAGACAAGAAUAUUAUAAUAUUCUAGAAUUGAGUGGAUCUACCAUCUUUCCGGACAUCAGAGAUACAUGGAUACUUGCGUCCAUAACGAAGUAUAGGAACGGGAAAUGUCCGCUUAUGAAAUAUCCGCACCCUUUAAAAAGGUGCUUUCAGCGGUUUCGCUUUGCCUUUGAUAUUACCGAUUGCCAUAAGUGGUGGUGACCUCUCACCAUCAGGUGCGCUAUAUGCUCGCUAGCUUUUGAAAGUAAUAUAAAAAAAAACAAGUUUAUUAGUUGACUAAUAGGACAAUGUGCUUGGAGUCACCGAAAUCCUUCAGUAAACCGGUAAAUAGACUAGUGAGUUGGGCCUUGCAUUUCAUACAGUCUUGUAGCCAUUUUGUACAUGUUUAUUAAAUAGAUAAAAUAUAAAUACAAAAGUAGAGCUUCAAAUAUAAAAUUAAAAAUAUUUAAAAA